CGAUGCAACGCGAAAACCUUACCACCUUGACAUGGCAGGAAUCCCGAAGAGAUUGGAGUGCUCGAAAGAGAACCUGCACACAGGUGCUGCAUGGCUGUCGUCAGCUCGUGUCGUGAGAUGUUGGGUUAAGUCCCGCAACGAGCGCAACCCUUGCCAUUAGUUGCUACGAAAGGGCACUCUAAUGGGGACUGCCGGUGACAAACCGGAGGAAAGGUGGGGAUGACGUCAAGUCCUCAUGGCCCUUAUAGGUGGGGCUACACACGUCAUACAAUGGCCGGUACAGAGGGUAGCCAACCCGCGAGGGGGAGCCAAUCCCACAAAGCCGGUCGUAGUCCGGAUCGCAGUCUGCAACUCGACUGCGUGAAGUCGGAAUCGCUAGUAAUCGCGGAUCAGCAUGUCGCGGUGAAUACGUUCCCGGGUCUU
Molecule: ribosomal RNA, 423 nt
Filed under: uncultured Allobrachymonas sp.
Lineage: Bacteria; Pseudomonadati; Pseudomonadota; Betaproteobacteria; Burkholderiales; Comamonadaceae
Description: bacterial SSU rRNA
Rfam family: Bacterial small subunit ribosomal RNA
Source: RNAcentral